RNAcentral lists this ribosomal RNA (446 nucleotides) under uncultured bacterium. Its description in RNAcentral is "partial 16S ribosomal RNA". It matches the Rfam family "Bacterial small subunit ribosomal RNA", at positions 329 to 792 of the family's 1533-position model. The record is from RNAcentral.
GGCCAGACUCCUACGGGAGGCAGCAGUGGGGAAUAUUGCACAAUGGGGGAAACCCUGAUGCAGCGACGCCGCGUGAGCGAUGAAGUAUUUCGGUAUGUAAAGCUCUAUCAGCAGGGAAGAAAAUGACGGUACCUGAAGAAGAAGCCCCGGCUAACUACGUGCCAGCAGCCGCGGUAAUACGUAGGGGGCAAGCGUUAUCCGGAUUUACUGGGUGUAAAGGGGGCGCAGACGGCGAUGCAAGCCAGGAGUGAAAGCCCGGGGCCCAACCCCGGGACUGCCCUUGGAACUGCGUGGCUGGAGUGCAGGAGGGGCAGGCGGAAUUCCUGGUGUAGCGGUGAAAUGCGUAGAUAUCAGGAGGAACACCGGUGGCGAGGGCGGCCUGCUGGACUGCAACUGACGUUGAGGCCCGAAAGCGUGGGGAGCAAACAGGAUUAGAUACCCUAGUA